UCAUUUGUAGUGAAUGUGACACAGAGCUGGUAUCAUGCAGAGGAGAACCACAACAUCUCACUGGAAUGGAUGUUCCCCACCAGCACGGACCCCUCCCCCAACGCCCUUCAUGUCUCCUGUGAGACGUUAAUUAAUCAGAUACACUCAGUCCUGUUUCAUCUGUAUGAAGGUGUCGAGAUCCCAGAGAUGCAGGAUAAACACUUUGCAGGACGAGUCCAGUGGGACAAAGACGUCCUCAGAGAAGGACGACUCAGACUUCACAUCUCCAGACUCCAGACUAGUGACUCGGGGCUGUACUGGUGUCAAGUGGACACAAGUUAUGGGAUGAACUAUAAGGAAUGUCACCUCAAUGUCACUGCAGUGAAGGAUCGACCCGAACCUGAGACAACGACUGAUACCAGACUGAGAUGGAUCGGCCUCUACUGUGCACUGGGACUGACAGCAGCUCUACUGGUUGUUUAUUUUUUUUAUCUCUGCUUUUCAAACAAGACCAGUGAUCAGCAGAACAUACGAUACACCAGAAACACAAUUCAAGUGAUUGAUCCUUUAAGAUUUUGCACAGAAACAGUCUGAGUUGUUCUGACUGAAGUCCAGCUGAGACACAUCUGGAUCUUUGGAUGUCUCCUGUGUGUCUCAUGGACCAACAGCAGCAUGAAGGUAUCAGUGAGUCCACAGAGACACGUGUGACUCAGGGAGCCCAGCUGGUGAACGCUGAGCCCUCGUUGUUUGUGUGAAGGUCAGUUAGUUUAGUUUCAUCAGGACCAAACUGAUUCACCUUCUGACAUCACAGCAUGAAUGUAAGUCAAUGGUUACAUGAAGUGUCAGGGAGACUGUGGGUGUAGAGUCCAAUCAGAGGAUCAACGGUUGACAUACUUUUGUUUUUUGUUCUAGACCUUCAGCUCCUCUAACAGAGACUCUGACUACUGAACAUAUUCUGCAUUAAGCAUCAUGCUGCUCGUCAUCAAAGACUAAUGUUUAUUCUGGUUCCUGUUCAUAAAGAAAGGAAACACAUUCAUAUUCUGUAUGUUAAGCCUGUAAAAAGAAAAAUAGAUCCUCACGAUGCCUCAA
Molecule: non-coding RNA, 1068 nt
Organism: Gasterosteus aculeatus aculeatus (three-spined stickleback)
Lineage: Eukaryota; Metazoa; Chordata; Actinopteri; Perciformes; Gasterosteidae
Source: RefSeq, a predicted model, not a curated record